CAAGCAGACUGCCUUAUCGCUGCACAUAUUGUGGAGAGGAAAGUCCGAGCAUCGCAGAGCAACAUAGUGGGUAACGCCCACCAUUUCGGAAUAUUCCGAAAUAGGACCAGUGCAACAGAAAGAAUGUACAGAUAAUGCUGUAGUGAAAUCAGGUAAACUCUAUGUGAUGAAAUACCAAGUAAACCAAAUGCCAAGGAGUGGCUCGUUCCGAUGUUGGAGGGUAGGUAGAUGGAGCUUGACAGUAAUGUCAAGCCUAGAUAAAUGAUAAGGACUUUGUAUAAAGUACAGAACUCGGCUUAUAGGUCUGCUUUUUAU
Molecule: RNase P RNA, 315 nt
Filed under: Bacteroidota bacterium
Lineage: Bacteria; Pseudomonadati; Bacteroidota
Description: RNase P RNA component class A
Rfam family: Bacterial RNase P class A
About the family: Ribonuclease P (RNase P) is a ubiquitous endoribonuclease, found in archaea, bacteria and eukarya as well as chloroplasts and mitochondria. Its best characterised activity is the generation of mature 5'-ends of tRNAs by cleaving the 5'-leader elements of precursor-tRNAs.
Source: RNAcentral